UAAGGGAUGGCUUAGUGAACAAAAGCACUUGUCUUUUAAACAUGGGACCUUAGUUCAAUUCCUAGGACCUUUG
Non-coding RNA from Cricetulus griseus (Chinese hamster), 73 nucleotides. NCBI's taxonomy places the organism in Eukaryota, Metazoa, Chordata, Mammalia, Rodentia, Cricetidae. The record is from Rfam.